UCCGCGGUAGCUUAAUGGUGAGAGCAUCGCACGGGCAAUGCGAAGACGUGGGUUCGUUCCCCACUUGCGGAC
This 72-nucleotide transfer RNA is filed under the name Dermacentor silvarum. RNAcentral's name for it is "transfer RNA alanine (anticodon GGC)". It matches the Rfam family "tRNA". From Rfam's summary of the family: Transfer RNA (tRNA) molecules are approximately 80 nucleotides in length. Their secondary structure includes four short double-helical elements and three loops (D, anti-codon, and T loops). The record is from RNAcentral. Lineage: Eukaryota; Metazoa; Arthropoda; Arachnida; Ixodida; Ixodidae.